UCGGAUUGCAGGCUGCAACCCGCCUGCAUGAAGUUGGAAUCGCUAGUAAUCGCGGAUCAGCAUGCCGCGGUGAAUACGUUCCCGGGCCUUGUACACACCGCCCGUCACACCAUGAGAGUCGGGAACACCCGAAGUCCGUAGCCUGACCGCAAGGGGGGCGCGGCCGAAGGUGGGUUCGAUAAUUGGGGUGAAGUCGUAACAAGGUAGC
Molecule: ribosomal RNA, 208 nt
Filed under: uncultured bacterium
Lineage: Bacteria
Description: partial 16S ribosomal RNA
Rfam family: Bacterial small subunit ribosomal RNA
Source: RNAcentral